Molecule: ribosomal RNA, 301 nt
Filed under: uncultured bacterium
Lineage: Bacteria
Description: partial 16S ribosomal RNA
Rfam family: Bacterial small subunit ribosomal RNA
Source: RNAcentral
CAGCAGCCGCGGUAAUACGAAGGGGGCUAGCGUUGCUCGGAAUCACUGGGUGUAAAGGGAGCGCAGGCGGUCUGGCAAGUUGAGAGUGGAAGCAGGGGGCUCAACCCCCUGACUGCUCCCAAAACUGUUGGACUGGAGUAUGGGAGAGGCAGGCGGAAUUCCUAGUGUAGCGGUGAAAUGCGCAGAGAUAUGGAGGAACACCAGUGGCGAAGGCGACUUUCUGGUCUGUAACUGACGCUGAUGUGCGAAAGCGUGGGGAUCAAACAGGAUUAGAUACCCCAGUAGUCCCUGUCUCUUAUAC